This 280-nucleotide long non-coding RNA is filed under the name Calidris pugnax (ruff). RNAcentral's name for it is "lncRNA (ENSCPUG00000017124.1)". Lineage: Eukaryota; Metazoa; Chordata; Aves; Charadriiformes; Scolopacidae. The record is from RNAcentral.
UGUUGAACAGGCCACAAAUGGAGGAAGAGAGCAAUGGAGAACUUUUAAUCUAUCCAACUAUAUUCUGCAAACUUGGAAUGUAGUAUCUGCUCAGUGAGGCAUGAAGCCUGAAGAAACACAGUUUUCUCCAGUUGACUUUGGUUCCACAGUUACUGAAGAAUUUCUACUUUAAUGAGGGGAACAAGCCUGUGAAGACACAAGUUUUGGCAGAAUUGCAGUGGUCUGCAUUGGAAUAUGCAACUCCGGGGCCAGCAGAUUUCUGAAAGUGAGUACAUCUUUG